Molecule: ribosomal RNA, 1541 nt
Filed under: uncultured bacterium
Lineage: Bacteria
Description: bacterial SSU rRNA
Rfam family: Bacterial small subunit ribosomal RNA
Source: RNAcentral
AGAGUUUGAUCCUGGCUCAGGAUGAACGCUGGCGGCGUGCCUAAUACAUGCAAGUCGAGCGAACUGAUUAGAAGCUUGCUUCUAUGACGUUAGCGGCGGACGGGUGAGUAACACGUGGGCAACCUGCCUGUAAGACUGGGAUAACUUCGGGAAACCGAAGCUAAUACCGGAUAGGAUCUUCUCCUUCAUGGGAGAUGAUUGAAAGAUGGUUUCGGCUAUCACUUACAGAUGGGCCCGCGGUGCAUUAGCUAGUUGGUGAGGUAACGGCUCACCAAGGCAACGAUGCAUAGCCGACCUGAGAGGGUGAUCGGCCACACUGGGACUGAGACACGGCCCAGACUCCUACGGGAGGCAGCAGUAGGGAAUCUUCCGCAAUGGACGAAAGUCUGACGGAGCAACGCCGCGUGAGUGAUGGAGGCGGGGCGGGGUCGUAAAACUCUGUUGUUAGGGAAGAACAAGUACGAGAGUAACUGCUCGUACCUUGACGGUACCUAACCAGAAAGCCACGGCUAACUACGUGCCAGCAGCCGCGGUAAUACGUAGUGGCAAGCGUUAUCCGGAAUUAUUGGGCGUAAAGCGCGCGCAGGCGGUUUCUUAAGUCUCGAUUCGAAAGCCCACGGCUCAAGUCACGUGAUGGUCAUUGGAAACUUGGGACCUUGAUGCAGAAGAAGGAAAAUGGAGUUCCACGUUGUAGCCGGUGAUAUGGCUUAAGAAGAAUGUUGGAGGAACACCCAAGUGGCGAGGCGGCUUUUUAGUCUUGUACUGACCGCUGAGGCCGCGAAGCGUGGCGGAGCAACAAGAUAAGAUAACCUUGGUUAGUCCACGCCGUAAACGAUGGAGGGCUAAGUGGUAAGAGGGUUCGGCCAUUUAGUGCCUGCGAGCCUAACGCAUUAAGCACUCCGCUGGGGAGUAUCCGGUCUGCAAGAACCCUCUGUGAAACUCAAAGGAAUGACGGGGGCCCGCACAAGCGGUGGAGCAUGUGGUUUAAUUUCGAAGCAACGCGAAGAACCUUACCAGGUCUUGACAUCCUCUGACAACUCUAGAGAUAGAGCGUUCCCUUCGGGGGACAGAGUGACAGGUGGUGCAUGGUUGUCGUCAGCUUGUGUCGUGCGAUCUCGGGGCUAAGUCCCGCAACGAGCGCAACCCUUGAUCUUAGUUGCCAGCAUUUAGUUGGGCACUCUAAGGUGACUGCCGGUGACAAACCGGAGGAAGGUGGGGAUGACGUCAAAUCAUCAUGCCCCUUAUGACCUGGGCUACACACGUGCUACAAUGGAUGGUACAAAGGGCCGCAAGACCGCGAGGUCAAGCCAAUCCCAUAAAACCAUUCUCAGUUCGGAUUGUAGGCUGCAACUCGCCUACAUGAAGCUGGAAUCGCUAGUAAUCGCGGAUCACCAUGCCGCGGUGAAUACGUUCCCGGGCCUUGUACACACCGCCCGUCACACCACGAGAGUUUGUAACACCCGAAGUCGGUGGAGUAACCGUAAGGAGCUAGCCGCCUAAGGUGGGACAGAUGAUUGGGGUGAAGUCGUAACAAGGUAACC